GACGGAAGGUGCAAGCGUUGCUCGGAAUCACUGGGCGUCAAGGGUGCGUAGGCGGCUUGGUAAGUUGGGUGUGAAAGCCCCGGGCUCAGCCCGGGAAGGGCACUCGAAACUGCCGAGCUGGAGUGCCGGAGGGGAGAGUGGAAUUCCUGGUGUAGCGGUGAAAUGCGUAGAUAUCAGGAGGAAUACCGGUGGCGAAAGCGACUCUCUGGACGGCAACUGACGCUGAGGCACGAAAGCGUGGGGAGCAAACAGG
This 253-nucleotide ribosomal RNA is filed under the name uncultured bacterium. RNAcentral's name for it is "partial 16S ribosomal RNA". It matches the Rfam family "Bacterial small subunit ribosomal RNA", at positions 524 to 776 of the family's 1533-position model. The record is from RNAcentral.